Molecule: transfer RNA, 74 nt
Filed under: Babesia sp. Lintan
Lineage: Eukaryota; Apicomplexa; Aconoidasida; Piroplasmida; Babesiidae
Description: tRNA-Lys
Rfam family: tRNA
About the family: Transfer RNA (tRNA) molecules are approximately 80 nucleotides in length. Their secondary structure includes four short double-helical elements and three loops (D, anti-codon, and T loops).
Source: RNAcentral
AGAUUACUAGCUUAAUAGGUAAAGUACUCGCUUUUUAAGCGAUUUGUUCUGAGUUCGAAUCUUUGGUAAUCUAA